Molecule: ribosomal RNA, 422 nt
Filed under: uncultured bacterium
Lineage: Bacteria
Description: partial 16S ribosomal RNA
Rfam family: Bacterial small subunit ribosomal RNA
Source: RNAcentral
UGAGGAAUAUUGGUCAAUGGGUGCAAGCCUGAACCAGCCAUCCCGCGUGAAGGACGACUGCCCUAUGGGUUGUAAACUUCUUUUGUAUAGGGAUAAACCUACCCUCGUGAGGGUAGCUGAAGGUACUAUACGAAUAAGCACCGACUAACUCCGUGCCAGCAGCCGCGGUAAUACGGAGGGUGCAAGCGUUAUCCGGAUUUAUUGGGUUUAAAGGGUCCGUAGGCGGACUUAUAAGUCAGUGGUGAAAGCCUGUCGCUUAACGAUAGAACUGCCAUUGAUACUGUAAGUCUUGAGUAUAUUUGAGGUAGCUGGAAUAAGUAGUGUAGCGGUGAAAUGCAUAGAUAUUACUUAGAACACCAAUUGCGAAGGCAGGUUACCAAGAUAUAACUGACGCUGAGGGACGAAAGCGUGGGGAGCGAACA